Xylogone sp. PMI_703 is the source of this 129-nucleotide non-coding RNA. The record is from the annotation of a GenBank genome assembly. Lineage: Eukaryota; Fungi; Ascomycota; Leotiomycetes.
GCUCCUUUGGCGCAAUGGCAGCGCGUAAGUCUACCAGUAAAACCAAGUUCUUAUUUAAACAUUUAACUAAAAUCUUCGUAGGCAAGACUUCUAAUCUUGAGGCUGCGAGUUCGAGUCUCGCAAGGAGUG